CACGAGAGAGCUUGCUCUCUUGGUGGCGAGUGGCGGACGGGUGAGUAAUAUAUCGGAACGUGCCCAGUAGCGGGGGAUAACUACUCGAAAGAGUGGCUAAUACCGCAUACGCCCUACGGGGGAAAGGGGGGGAUCGAAAGACCUCUCACUAUUGGAGCGGCCGAUAUCGGAUUAGCUAGUUGGUGGGGUAAAGGCUCACCAAGGCAACGAUCCGUAGCUGGUUUGAGAGGACGACCAGCCACACUGGGACUGAGACACGGCCCAGACUCCUACGGGAGGCAGCAGUGGGGAAUUUUGGACAAUGGGGGAAACCCUGAUCCAGCCAUCCCGCGUGUAUGAUGAAGGCCUUCGGGUUGUAAAGUACUUUUGGCAGAGAAGAAAAGGCAUCCCCUAAUACGGGAUGCUGCUGACGGUAUCUGCAGAAUAAGCACCGGCUAACUACGUGCCAGCAGCCGCGGUAAUACGUAGGGUGCAAGCGUUAAUCGGAAUUACUGGGCGUAAAGCGUGUGUAGGCGGUUCGGAAAGAAAGAUGUGAAAUCCCAGGGCUCAACCUUGGAACUGCAUUUUUAACUGCCGAGCUAGAGUAUGUCAGAGGGGGGUAGAAUUCCACGUGUAGCAGUGAAAUGCGUAGAUAUGUGGAGGAAUACCGAUGGCGAAGGCAGCCCCCUGGGAUAAUACUGACGCUCAGACACGAAAGCGUGGGGAGCAAACAGGAUUAGAUACCCUGGUAGUCCACGCCCUAAACGAUGUCAACUAGCUGUUGGGGCCGUUAGGCCUUAGUAGCGCAGCUAACGCGUGAAGUUGACCGCCUGGGGAGUACGGUCGCAAGAUUAAAACUCAAAGGAAUUGACGGGGACCCGCACAAGCGGUGGAUGAUGUGGAUUAAUUCGAUGCACGCGAAAACCUUACCUACCCUUGACAUGUCUGGAAUGC
This 933-nucleotide ribosomal RNA is filed under the name Alcaligenes sp. UASWS0981. RNAcentral describes it as "bacterial SSU rRNA". It matches the Rfam family "Bacterial small subunit ribosomal RNA", at positions 70 to 998 of the family's 1533-position model. Lineage: Bacteria; Pseudomonadati; Pseudomonadota; Betaproteobacteria; Burkholderiales; Alcaligenaceae. The record is from RNAcentral.